Molecule: ribosomal RNA, 258 nt
Filed under: uncultured bacterium
Lineage: Bacteria
Description: partial 16S ribosomal RNA
Rfam family: Bacterial small subunit ribosomal RNA
Source: RNAcentral
GAGUCGCAAGCUCGCGAGAGUAAGCUAAUCUCUUAAAGCCGUUCUCAGUUCGGACUGUAGGCUGCAACUCGCCUACACGAAGUCGGAAUCGCUAGUAAUCGCGGAUCAGCAUGCCGCGGUGAAUACGUUCCCGGGCCUUGUACACACCGCCCGUCACACCAUGGGAGUUUGUAACGCCCAAAGUCGGUGGCCUAACCUUUAUGGAGGGAGCCGCCUAAGGCGGGACAGAUGACUGGGGUGAAGUCGUAACAAGGUAUC